Pseudophryne corroboree (corroboree frog) is the source of this 611-nucleotide long non-coding RNA. RefSeq lists it as uncharacterized. The transcript is spliced from 5 exons. The record is from RefSeq and is a predicted model, not a curated record. Lineage: Eukaryota; Metazoa; Chordata; Amphibia; Anura; Myobatrachidae.
GGUAUAUAUAGGACUAAAGAGUUCACUCUCACUUAUAGCUGUGAGGUGGACCUUGAGACAACACGCCAGGGUCUGAUCGGAUAAUAUCUCCUGAUCUCAUCCGAAUUGCCAGUUUGUGAAAUCUAAAUAGAAGUUUCUGGAAAUACAUGGAUGUACUAUUGAUGUACUUCAGCCAACACCCAUAAUUUGAUGGUUUGUUAAGUUUCCACAGGAAUACACUCUCAGUGAAUUCAUGCUCUGUUUGUAUUCCCUUUGGUGAACCCAUUCUUUGAUUUGCACCCCUGAUGAAGUCCUAAGGGACGAAACGCGUUGGGUUUCAACGAUUGUGCGUUUUCCGUAAAAACAGUGAACUGAUCAUUCAUACUUUCUCAUGCUGAGGAAUAAGUAUUUCAUCUAAUGAUUGAAAACAUCAUGUAUAACAGACAAUCAGAAAUGAAUGUAUUGCUCAUAUGACAUAUGUGAUCUUGUGAUUCAUGUUAUAAAAGUAUACAUGUUUUUUAAUAAAUGAUUUUAUAAUUAUAUAAGUAUAUCUGUGGUGGUAAAGCUCCCCAAGAGAACUUUUGUUUUUGUCCAUUCUAUGUGCAGUACUCCUUCUGACAGGGGGUACCUCU